UACGGGGGGGGCAAGCGUUGUCCGGAUUUAUUGGGCGUAAAGAGCGUGUAGGCGGCCAAGCAGGUCCGCUGUGAAAACUCGAGGCUCAACCUCGAGACGUCGGUGGAAACCGUUUGGCUAGAGUCCGGAAGAGGAGAGUGGAAUUCCCGGUGUAGCGGUGAAAUGCGCAGAUAUCGGGAAGAACACCCGUGGCGAAGGCGGCUCUCUGGGGCGGUACUGACGCUGAGACGCGAAAGCGUGGGGAGCGAACAGG
Molecule: ribosomal RNA, 253 nt
Filed under: uncultured bacterium
Lineage: Bacteria
Description: partial 16S ribosomal RNA
Rfam family: Bacterial small subunit ribosomal RNA
Source: RNAcentral